AACAAAAAGAGCUAAUUGGCAGGGGCUAGUGGAACUAGGAGCUUUCUGGAAACACGGAGUGUAAAGUCAUCUGAGUCAUUUUCGUAUAUAAAAUUUGCAGAAGAAAAGCUAUCGUCGCAGCCAAAAUCCGUCACCUUUUCCCGUUUCUGUUGCUCUUCGUGGAAGAAAUCAAUUUCCUGACAAAGCGAUGCUGAUCGAAGAAGAAGAGACAGAAAAGCAUAGCGAUUUGAAUCCCCCGAAACCCUCGUCUUCCACCAACAGAAAUGCCUCCGAUGGCUUCGAAACUGCCAGUGACGGAGAACUCGGAUCCAACGGUAGCGACAACGACGAUGAAACCCAACAACAAGAGGAACAGCAAAGUCUCUCUCAGGCUGACGACAUCGCAUUGAAACAGCAGAAAGCGUUUGAACAAGCAAAUGAUGUGAAAAUGGAAGGCAAUAGACUGUUUGGCAGUGGGCAAUAUGAAGAGGCAUUAUCACAGUAUGGGCUUGCUUUACACAUUGCGCCUGACAUGCCAUCAUCUGUGGAAUUACGCUCAAUAUGUCACGCAAACAGUGCAAUAUGUUUUUCAAAAUUGGGAAAAUAUGAGGAUGCAAUCAAGGAAUGCACAAAAGCGCUAGAACUAAAUCCUUCAUAUAUGAAAGCUCUGCUUAGAAGAGCAGAAGCACAUGAAAAACUAGAGCAUUUCGAAGAGGCUAUUGCUGAUAUGAAAAAAAUCUUGGAACUCGAUCCCUCAAAUGACCAAGCCAAGAAGACCAUUCGUCGCCUGGGGCCGCUGGCUGAAGAAAAGAGAGAAAAGAUGAAAGAGGAGAUGAUUGGGAAGCUGAAAGAUAUGGGUAACUCUUUGUUGGGCCGUUUUGGAAUGAGCGUGGACAACUUCAAAUCUGUUAAAGAUCCAAACACUGGCUCUUAUUCUAUUUCAUUCCAACGUUAGUGUGGUUGUGGUCAUAUUCUACAACAAUGUGGGAAAAAUCAGGGUGGUGAUCUGAAGGAGUAUGGACUUUGUCAUGUAUGCAGGAUUGAUCUCCCCAUCUUCAUCUCCACACUCUACCCAUAUUGUCCUUAUUUGUUACAUGGGUAUUGGAAGCUUCCUGACUUCUAGAGGAAGAGAAAAGUUGUCUCAUCCUCCAAAUCACUUGCUUGGGCUCUCUAAAGCUGCUCUCCACUCUCUCAGCUACAGUGAGGAUGGGAAAAGAAUGUGGGAAGUUCAUCAAAAGCGAGAUGGAGAGGGAGGUUGAUGUAAGAAAACACCACUGUAGUCUUCAUUAUCAUGGAGCACAAGAGAGAUGGAAGCAUUGAGAAACACCACAAGAUUAAUGAAUGCAUCUAAUUACACAUUUUUUGUGUGGUAAAGAUCUAUUUAAACAUUUUGAUAUUGAACACUUUUUGUAUAUUUGUUAUGAGAUAGGAGAAGGCAAAGGUACAUUUUCCGGGUAGGUACCGUAAGCUUCUAUCAAUAAUGUUGUACUAUUGAACCAUAUCAAGACAUUUUUACGAUUGAAACAA
RNA transcript from Prunus avium (sweet cherry), 1506 nucleotides. It is a transcript of the gene named Tetratricopeptide repeat (TPR)-like superfamily protein, with no coding region annotated. NCBI's taxonomy places the organism in Eukaryota, Viridiplantae, Streptophyta, Magnoliopsida, Rosales, Rosaceae. The record is from RefSeq and is a predicted model, not a curated record.